This 426-nucleotide ribosomal RNA is filed under the name uncultured prokaryote. RNAcentral's name for it is "bacterial SSU rRNA". It matches the Rfam family "Bacterial small subunit ribosomal RNA", at positions 355 to 796 of the family's 1533-position model. The record is from RNAcentral.
UGGGGAAUCUUGGACAAUGGGGGCAACCCUGAUCCAGCGACGCCGCGUGAGGGAGGAAGGCCUGUGGGUUGUAAACCUCUUUUCUCUAGGAAGAAGGUCUGACGGUACUAGAGGAAUCAGCAUCGGCUAACUCCGUGCCAGCAGCCGCGGUAAGACGGAGGAUGCAAGCGUUAUCCGGAAUUAUUGGGCGUAAAGCGUCCGUAGGCGGUUAUUCAAGUCUGCUGUUAAAGACCACAGCUCAACUGUGGGCAGGCGGUGGAAACUGAGUGACUAGAGUUCGGUAGGGGUAGAGGGAAUUCCCAGUGUAGCGGUGAAAUGCGUAGAUAUUGGGAAGAACACCAGUGGCGAAGGCGCUCUACUGGGCCGAGACUGACGCUGAUGGACGAAAGCUAGGGGAGCGAAAGGGAUUAGAUACCCCCGUAGUCC